RNAcentral lists this long non-coding RNA (1599 nucleotides) under Nicotiana tabacum (common tobacco). RNAcentral describes it as "long non-coding RNA (NTAB_LNC011091)". The record is from RNAcentral. Lineage: Eukaryota; Viridiplantae; Streptophyta; Magnoliopsida; Solanales; Solanaceae.
CUGGAUACGAAUCAUCGCUGAUAUGCCUACUUCUAAGCCCGCUCAUUCUUCUUCGGCAAUUCUGCCCUUCUCACUGACAUAGAUACCGUCAAGAAACUUUCGGAUAUCCUUGUUCUUCACAUGGCAUUUCUGUCCAACAGAAUACAACAUAGAGCAGUUAAGUAAUGUAUAAUCUCCCUACUCUUUGUGAAUCAGUUUCAAAAAAAACAAGCAUGCAAAUAUUGAAUGCUGGGAAAGAACAUAGAGAUUACUUGAUUGAUGAGGGCAGCAGAGCGAGAGACGAGCUCAAUGUCAUUUCCAUCCAAUACAAGCUCAUCCUUAACCUUCUCAGAUCGAACAACUGUUACCCCAUCAAGCAUGUCCACUUUCCUAACCUGAUACAGUCAUCAAACCAGUCAAUCGCCAGGCACUACAACAAACGGAAUAGAUGAUUCACAGUCCAGGAUACUAUCCCAUUAAUAGAUGUAGCUAUCUUCUGCCAUGAAAGGGAUAUCAGUCACAAAGUCCAGAUACCAAUCAAUAAGAAUGACACUCAGAGCUUGCUUUUGUCUGUUCUGGAACAUGAUUCCUUAAGACAGAUAGAAUAAUCUAUGAAAAUCUCAUUGCAUUAUCUCAUAAAGACCUAAUUCUUCUCUUAUCUUUAAUCCUUACAUAAGCUGCUAACUAUUUCAACCAACAUCUCAAACUUCCUGGCAGAUUUUUAACAAAGUAGUAUAACAAGUUGCAAAGUGAAUUUAUCAAAAACUUUCUAAUCACAGUUAACAAAAAAAAGACAAUCAAUCUAUGCUGCUUUUAAAGUAGUAUAUUAAUUUUAUUUCCAAAGAAAUAAGAAAUCAAUGCCUGAAUUCACAUUGAAAAAUAGUCAAAAUCAUGCCAUUCUUUCUUCCAACAAGAAUUAACAUAUGUUUGACAAUACUUCCAAAGCCUAUCAAUUUAUCUUCUCUCGCCUUAUGUUUUACACUCUUUAGAAAGCCUGUCGGGGCAGAUUAUCAAAACAACCACCCAAUUACAACAAAAAUUUGAAGGGAAAACAACUAUGCAGAAUGAUUACAUAUUCGAUUCUCAUAUUUACAAAAAAAAACUGAUGCAAACUUGUAUCAUUUAUGCAUACACUACCAUCUAAUAGAAUCCCUUUUAGCGUUAUUUUAUAUCUAAUCAUUUCAUUCAGCACAAAAAAAAACUCAGAAGAAAAACAAACAUAAAAAAGUAACAAUCCAUAUCACAUAUGUCACGCUCAUAUUAACAAACUAUUGCACAUCAUUUCAUUCAUACAAAAAGCUUCAGAAAAGAGUAAAAAUUAAAGUAAAAAAUACCCUCUUCUCGCCAAGGAAGUUACGAAUCUCAAUGGACUUGUUACCACCGGUGAUGGAGGCAUUGAUCGGAAAGUGAGCAUACACGAAACGCAUCUUGUAGCGGUAACCUUUGGUCACACCAGUGAUGAGAUUCUCAACAUGGCUAAGAGCAGUACGGAUAGCUGCAGUAGUCUUACGGGAUCCAAACCAAGCGUCAAUCUUCAGCUUCUUCUUGCCAGUUUCCUCGUCCUUGAUCAGCUGAAAAUCGAGGUUGAGAUGCUUGAAGUUUCGGACAAGUUUGCCCCUU